GAUGAAGAACGCAGCGAAAUGCGAUAUGUAAUGUGAAUUGCAGAAUUCAGUGAAUCAUCGAAUCUUUGAACGCACAUUGCGCCCAUUAGUAUUCUAGUGGGCAUGCCUGUUCGAGCGUCAUUAAGUCCACUUAAGCCCUGCUUAGUGUUGGGAGACUGCUCCAGCGGUGCUACCCUGUAGCUACCCUGCAGCUCCUCAAAGACAGCGGCGGAGUUGUGGUAUCCUCUGAGCUUAGUAACUUGUUCUAGCUUUCGAGUACACCACUUCCCCUGCCGUAAAACCCUUAAUUUUUAAUGGUUGACCUCGGAUCAGGUAGGAAUACCCGCUGAACUUAAGCAUAUCAAUAAGCGGAGGA
This 355-nucleotide unclassified non-coding RNA is filed under the name soil metagenome. Its description in RNAcentral is "partial contains 5.8S ribosomal RNA, internal transcribed spacer 2, and large subunit ribosomal RNA". The stretch from base 1 to 120 matches the Rfam family "5.8S ribosomal RNA", at positions 35 to 154 of the family's 154-position model. The record is from RNAcentral.